GUGGGGAAUAUUGGACAAUGGGCGAAAGCCUGAUCCAGCCAUGCCGCGUGUGUGAAGAAGGUCUUCGGAUUGUAAAGCACUUUAAGUUGGGAGGAAGGGCAGUAAGUUAAUACCUUGCUGUUUUGACGUUACCAACAGAAUAAGCACCGGCUAACUUCGUGCCAGCAGCCGCGGUAAUACGAAGGGUGCAAGCGUUAAUCGGAAUUACUGGGCGUAAAGCGCGCGUAGGUGGUUCAGCAAGUUGGAGGUGAAAUCCCCGGACUCAACCUGGGAACUGCCUCCAAAACUACUGAGCUAGAGUACGGUAGAGGGUAGUGGAAUUUCCUGUGUAGCGGUGAAAUGCGUAGAUAUAGGAAGGAACACCAGUGGCGAAGGCGACUACCUGGACUGAUACUGACACUGAGGUGCGAAAGCGUGGGGAGCAAACAGGAUUAGAUACCCUUGUAGUCC
Molecule: ribosomal RNA, 450 nt
Filed under: uncultured bacterium
Lineage: Bacteria
Description: partial 16S ribosomal RNA
Rfam family: Bacterial small subunit ribosomal RNA
Source: RNAcentral